UACAGGGGGUGCUAGCGUUGUUCGGAAUUACUGGGCGUAAAGGGCGCGUAGGCGGCUUUGUAAGUCAGAUGUGAAAUCCCGGGGCUUAACUCCGGACGUGCAUUUGAAACUGCGAGGCUAGAGUACAGUAGAGGAUGGUAGAAUUCCCAGUGUAGAGGUGAAAUUCGUAGAUAUUGGGAAGAACACCGGUGGCGAAGGCGGCUCACUGGCUCGUAUCUGACGCUCAGGCGCGACAGCGUGGGGAUCAAACAGG
RNAcentral lists this ribosomal RNA (253 nucleotides) under uncultured bacterium. RNAcentral describes it as "partial 16S ribosomal RNA". It matches the Rfam family "Bacterial small subunit ribosomal RNA", at positions 524 to 776 of the family's 1533-position model. The record is from RNAcentral.